RNAcentral lists this ribosomal RNA (253 nucleotides) under uncultured bacterium. RNAcentral describes it as "partial 16S ribosomal RNA". It matches the Rfam family "Bacterial small subunit ribosomal RNA", at positions 524 to 776 of the family's 1533-position model. The record is from RNAcentral.
UACAUGGGGUGCAAACGUUGCUCGGAAUUAUUGGGCGUAAAGCGCGCGUAGGCGGCUCGGAAAGUCGGUCGUGAAAUGCCGGGGCUCAACCCCGGGACUGCGUCCGAUACUUCCGAGCUGGAGGCAGGUAGGGGAGAUCGGAAUUCCUGGCGUAGCGGUGAAAUGCGCAGAUAUCAGGAGGAACACCGGUGGCGAAGGCGGAUCUCUGGGCCUUGCCUGACGCUGAGGCGCGAAAGCUAGGGGAGCGAACAGG